GGCUCUCAAGCAAGGUCCACUUGCAGUGAAAUAAACCAGAGGUUUGAAUCAUGGCUUGAUACGAAAUUAUUGGAAAGAAUAUGGCGAUGACAUCCACAAUGCCGGAUAAAGAAAAUAUUUAGAAGAUGAGAUUCCUGUGUUUCUGGCUUUCAUAACUUUUUAGAUUUCCUUUCUACUGGAAAACUUUUAACUUUGAAAACCGCAAGUAAUAUUUUUCUUCCUGAAACCUCUGCAGUGGUAGCAAUGCACUGAAGUUUGAUUAAAAGUUUACUGGUCAUUCCUGCCAUGAGAAGAUGAUAGAGAAUAUCACCACAGUGUGACUUGCUUCCAAGGCAGCAUGGUUUCAUGCAGAGGAUCUAAACUGGGGACCAUGUGCUGGGCUGCAAAAGGGCUGUGCAGUGCCUAAAAUGUUAUGCAAAAUUUUAUAAAGUUGGUGUUGUUUUCUUCAGUCAAGAGGUCCACAGAGCUGUCUUUCAUUCUGUAGGUUUAUCAGCAACUGAUGCUUAAAACCUAUUAGGCACUGCAAAAAAAGAGUGCACACCUUCUACUUAUUAAAAAAAAAAACAAACUGUAAAACAGCAUCAUGCAGGUUCUUCAGGAGAGAUUCCAGAGGAAGGCAUUGUUGUGGUAGAAGAUGACAGUUCCACAGGUGUUACUAGCCAUGAAGAUCUUCCAGUGAGACAAGAUGUGGAGGUGGAAGACAGUGAUAUUGAUGAUUCUGAUCCUGUUGUUAUAAAUAAAGUUUCGGUUCCACAAAAGAAA
Homo sapiens (human) is the source of this 762-nucleotide long non-coding RNA. Ensembl annotates it as long intergenic non-protein coding RNA 1919. The record is from Ensembl. NCBI's taxonomy places the organism in Eukaryota, Metazoa, Chordata, Mammalia, Primates, Hominidae.